Molecule: non-coding RNA, 115 nt
Organism: Triticum aestivum (bread wheat)
Lineage: Eukaryota; Viridiplantae; Streptophyta; Magnoliopsida; Poales; Poaceae
Source: Rfam
GUGGUACUCCCUCCGUUCGAAAUUACUUGUCUCGGAAAUAGAUGUAUCUAGAACUAAAAUACGUCUAGAUACAUCCAUUUCUUCGACAACUAAUUCCAAACGGAGGGAGUAUAUG